UACAGAGGGUGCGAGCGUUAAUCGGAUUUACUGGGCGUAAAGGGCUCGUAGGCGGCCAACUAAGUCAGACGUGAAAUCCCCAGGCUCAACCUGGGAACUGCGUCUGAUACUGGAUGGCUUGAAUCCGGGAGAGGGAUGCAGAAUUCCAGGUGUAGCGGUGAAAUGCGUAGAUAUCUGGAGGAAUACCGGUGGCGAAGGCGGCAUCCUGGACCGGCAUUGACGCUGAGGAGCGAAAGCCAGGGGAGCAAACGGG
RNAcentral lists this ribosomal RNA (253 nucleotides) under uncultured bacterium. RNAcentral's name for it is "partial 16S ribosomal RNA". It matches the Rfam family "Bacterial small subunit ribosomal RNA", at positions 524 to 776 of the family's 1533-position model. The record is from RNAcentral.